UACGGAGGGUGCAAGCGUUAUCCGGAUUCACUGGGUUUAAAGGGUGCGUAGGAGGGCAGGGAAGUCAGUGGUGAAAUCUCCGGGCUUAACUCGGAAACUGCCGUUGAUACUCUCUGUCUUGAAUCCCGUGGAGGUGAGCGGAAUAUGUCAUGUAGCGGUGAAAUGCUUAGAUAUGACAUAGAACACCGAUUGCGAAGGCAGCUCGCUACACGGGUAUUGACUCUGAGGCACGAAAGCGUGGGGAUCAAAC
Molecule: ribosomal RNA, 250 nt
Filed under: uncultured bacterium
Lineage: Bacteria
Description: partial 16S ribosomal RNA
Rfam family: Bacterial small subunit ribosomal RNA
Source: RNAcentral